CUACAAUGGACAAAUGAUGGUGCAUUUCUGUCUCUAUAGAUUUUAAUCAAUGCAUUAGUCAGAUCUCAAUUAUGAGAAAAUUUUGAGGAAAUAUUACCCUAGAGUAAAUUUUAAUUUAUGCUGAAAAAUUUUAAACGCAUCCUAUUUUGCAUCAAAGUGCAAGUGUGAGUAAAUUAUGUAUGACGACUUCUUGCUUAAAGCCUCUUAGAAAAGAAGAAUAUAUUUGCUUGCAUCUCACUAAUAUGCCAAUGUUUAGGUAGCUACAUUUACACCUGUUUGCCACAGGUAAACUGAAUAGAACAUCAGACAGCUCAUUAUAGAGACAAGUAUGCUCCAUUCCCAAAGUUGGAUGACAGAACAAGUCAUGACCUUGUGUGGAAGAAAAUGAGAUCCCGAGUGAAGUCUACAAUGUCAUUGACUCUGAAGAAGGACUCAGAGACCCAUUGGUGUUUAAUGACCCUUACUGGCCUAUGCAAUGGGAACUGGACUUUGACCAACAUCAUAUUCUAAGAACUCAUGGAGUAUUUGAUUCACUGGCAUGAAAUCCUGUACAACAACAUCUGAGACCAAGAGAUACAUUUUUUUUGUAAA
RNAcentral lists this long non-coding RNA (591 nucleotides) under Felis catus (domestic cat). RNAcentral's name for it is "lncRNA (ENSFCAG00000048158.1)". Lineage: Eukaryota; Metazoa; Chordata; Mammalia; Carnivora; Felidae. The record is from RNAcentral.